GCAGGACACCAUAGUGUGCACCUGUAGUCCCAGCUACUUGGGAGGCAGGAGGAUCACUUGAGUCCAGGAAUUCGAGGCCAUAAUGUGCUAUGCUGUCAGGUGUCUGCACUAAGUUUCGCAUCAGUAUGGUAACCCCCAGGUGCGGAGUGGGGGGCACCACCAGGUUGCCUAUGGAGGGGUGAACCAGCCCAGGUUGCAAAUGGUGCAGGUUAAAACUCCACACUGAUCAGUAAUGGGAUUGAGCCUGUGAAUAGCCACUGCACUCCGGAAUGGACAACAUAGUGAGACCCCAUCU
This is an unclassified non-coding RNA of Otolemur garnettii (small-eared galago), 295 nucleotides long. It matches the Rfam family "Metazoan signal recognition particle RNA". Rfam says of the family: The signal recognition particle (SRP) is a universally conserved ribonucleoprotein. It is involved in the co-translational targeting of proteins to membranes. NCBI's taxonomy places the organism in Eukaryota, Metazoa, Chordata, Mammalia, Primates, Galagidae. The record is from Ensembl.